AGAAUGUCUGACUGUCCUCUUCUGUGCUUAGACAGAACCAAGCCGGAGAGGCUGCUGCUCUGGCUGCUUCAGGCCUGGGCUGGUUUUCUAGCUAUUUAUGGCGUGGAGUGAGGUGGCUGCGGGUUGCCAGCCUGACCUGUCAUCUGACCCUGCGGGGGAGAAGCAGUCCCCGAUUUGGUUCUGCCUCCCAGCCGACCCCCAUCGUCCCGCCUGCACACUUUUACCUUGUUGGCUGAGAGACAGUGGAGCGCCGCCGGACGGUGGCAGAGCAUGAGAAUGACAAAG
Molecule: long non-coding RNA, 285 nt
Filed under: Ictidomys tridecemlineatus (thirteen-lined ground squirrel)
Lineage: Eukaryota; Metazoa; Chordata; Mammalia; Rodentia; Sciuridae
Description: lncRNA (ENSSTOG00000032219.1)
Source: RNAcentral